Small nucleolar RNA from Arvicanthis niloticus (Nile rat), 127 nucleotides. RefSeq annotates it as small nucleolar RNA SNORA17. The record is from RefSeq and is a predicted model, not a curated record. NCBI's taxonomy places the organism in Eukaryota, Metazoa, Chordata, Mammalia, Rodentia, Muridae.
UCUGCCUUUAGUUUCAAGUGUGGAAGCUAUGUCACAUGUGUGUCAGUAGGGGGCAGAAAGGAGAGAGACUAUGUCUAUUCUCAGUGUUCUCACCUAUGAAUAUCUGAGUGAUAAAUAGUCUAACAUU